This 407-nucleotide ribosomal RNA is filed under the name uncultured bacterium. RNAcentral describes it as "partial 16S ribosomal RNA". It matches the Rfam family "Bacterial small subunit ribosomal RNA", at positions 30 to 526 of the family's 1533-position model. The record is from RNAcentral.
AUUGAACGCUGGCGGCAGGCCUAACACAUGCAAGUCGAGCGGAGCGGCGGACGGGUGAGUAAUGCCUAGGAAUCUGCCUGGGAGUGGGGGAUAACGUCCGGGAACGGGCGCUAAUACGGCAUACUAUCCGAUGAGCCUAGGUCGGAUUAGCUGGUUGGUGGGGUAAAGGCCUACCAAGGCGACGAUCCGUAACUGGUCUGAGAGGAUGCUCAGUCACACUGGAACUUAGACACGGUCCAGACUCCGACGGUAGGCAGCAGUGGGGAAUAUUGGACAAUGGGCGAAAGCCUGAUCCAGCCAUGCCGCGUGUGGUAAGAAGGUCUUCGGAUUGUAAAGCACUUUAAGUUGGGAGGCGUUACCAACAGAAUAAGCACCGGCUAACUUCGUGCCAGCAGCCGCGGUAAUUC